Long non-coding RNA from Anguilla rostrata (American eel), 955 nucleotides. RefSeq lists it as uncharacterized. The transcript has 2 exons. NCBI's taxonomy places the organism in Eukaryota, Metazoa, Chordata, Actinopteri, Anguilliformes, Anguillidae. The record is from RefSeq and is a predicted model, not a curated record.
ACAGUAUGAUGAGGCUAGCCUAUUGUUUGUACCUAUUCGCAUGUGAAUAAACAACGCUAGCUAGAUCAGACUUCAGAGUUCUAUAGGCAAAGCUUUUAUUAAGUGACAUUAAUGUAACAUCAGAGUAGAUAACCGUGCAGUUGUUCAUCUUGGGAAUCCUGCAUGACUCCUAUUACCAGAGGUGGGUAACCCGGCUUCGAAGAGUAAAAAGACUGACCAUAUAUUUGCUACAUCACCAUGCACUUAACCAACUGAUUCUAAUUAGCAUAACUCUUCAGCAUGAUAGGAGAAUUAAUUAUUGUAAUCAGCUGGUUUAGUUCAUGUUGGUGGAGCAAAUACAUGGUCAGUCUUUUUACUCUUUGAAGCCGGGUUACCCACCUCUGCCUAUUACGUAUCUGCAACUGUGGUUAUAACGUAAAUUAGGUGUGCGUAGUUGUUUUUUUUAAGUACAUCACUUUAAGGUUACGUGUCUUAGCUGCUUGUAAUAAUCAAAUAAUUACAUUUUUCACUUGGUCGCCAGCCAUUUUACUUGCAGUUCAGGAAAGAUGCCCAAAGAUGUGCAAAUAGGCAACUCUAGGAGGACAGGCCCCAAGAGAUGAGCAAAACAGGAAGCACAGGAUGUGACUGAGACAGAGGAUGAAAGGAGACUGUCAAACCGCAACCUUUCCACUAGACCAACUUCACCCAUCUGCUUGCUAUAAGAAUAAUUAUAACUAGAUAUAACCGGCUAUAAGCUAGAUUAAAAAGUGCCCCACUUCGAGUGGAAAAUAACUGGGGCAUAGUUCAGUUAUAGGCUUGCAAAAUGUAGAGCACGCCUCUUGUGCAUGAUGAAAAAGUACUGAGACACUGUAUAUAAGAAGCUGUCUGUACACACCUAACAUCAGAGAGUUUUGUGAGUACUCUCUCAUUCUUUUCUCUGUUUGCAAGCUGAAUAAAAGUCCUAUGAGUGAACAAA